GCAUAUAAGUAAGCGGAGGAAAAGAAACUAAACAGGAUUCCCUCAGUAAUGGCGAAUGAACAGGGAUGAGCUCAGUAUGGAAAUUGGGGCCUGUGGCCUUGAAUUGUAGUCUGGAGAUGUACUACCAACUGGGGCGCAGAUGUAAGCCUCUUGGAAAAGAGCAUCAAUGAGGGUGAGAGUCCCGCUUGGCAUCUGCAGUCCCCAGUGCACGGUGUACCUUCUAAGAGUCACGUUCCUCGGGAUUGGAGCGCAAAUUGGGUGGUAAAUUUCAUCUAAAGCUAAAUAUUGCUUCGAGACCGAUAGCAAACAAGUACCAUGAGGGAAAGGUGAAAAGGACUUUGAAAAGAGAGUUAAAAGUGCCUGAAAUUGCUGAAAGGGAAGCGAAUGGAGCCAGCGUACCUUGGCAAGAUUGCUGCGUGUCAAUGUGAUUGCUUGCUUCCUCAACGUAAGUGUGGUUGUAAGUCUUGAGCAAGACAUGCGUGGUGCUUCUUGCCUUGUGUGUCACCGCCAGCUCGCAGCUGAGGAAAACUUCAGGGACAUGGUAGCCUGCCCCCGGGUGUGUGAAUGUGCCUGCUGGAACUCGUUUGCGGGCUGCUUGGUGACUAAAUGGUUCCAUCCGACCCGUCUUGAAACACGGACCAAGGAGUCUAACAUAUGUGCAAGUUCACGGGUGUUAAACCUGCCUGCGUAAUGAAAGUGACUGCUGGGAUCUUUGCACCAGCAACCGACCAAUCAAUUGAGAGAGGUUUGAGUAUGAGCAUAUCUGUUAGGACCCGAAAGAUGGUGAACUAUGCCUGUGAAGGGCAAACUCAGGGGAAACUCUGAUGGAGGCUCGUAGCGAUACUGACGUGCAAAUCGUUCGUCAUACAUGGGUAUAGGGGCGAAAGACUAAUCGAACCAUCUAGUA
This 907-nucleotide ribosomal RNA is filed under the name Scrippsiella masanensis. RNAcentral describes it as "partial large subunit ribosomal RNA". It matches the Rfam family "Eukaryotic large subunit ribosomal RNA", at positions 38 to 949 of the family's 3401-position model. Lineage: Eukaryota; Dinophyceae; Peridiniales; Peridiniaceae. The record is from RNAcentral.